This 462-nucleotide ribosomal RNA is filed under the name uncultured bacterium. RNAcentral describes it as "partial 16S ribosomal RNA". It matches the Rfam family "Bacterial small subunit ribosomal RNA", at positions 338 to 795 of the family's 1533-position model. The record is from RNAcentral.
CCUACGGGAGGCUGCAGUGAGGAAUAUUGGUCAAUGGACGCAAGUCUGAACCAGCCAAGUAGCGUGCAGGAUGACGGCCCUCCGGGUUGUAAACUGCUUUUAGUUGGGAAUAAAAGGGGGCUCGUGAGCCCCGUAUUGUAUGUACCAUCAGCAAAAGGAACGGCUAAUUCCGUGCCAGCAGCCGCGGUAAUACGGGAGGUCCGGGCGUUAUCCGGAUUUAUUGGGUUGAAAGGGAGCGUAGGCCGGCUUUUAAGUCGGCUGGGAAAGGGCGGGGCUCAACCGUAAAAUUGCAAUUGAUACUGGCAGUCUUGAGUACAGUUGAGGUAGGCGGAAUUCGUGGUGUAGCGGUGAAAUGCUUAGAUAUCACGAAGAACUCCGAUUGCGAAGGCAGCUUACUAAACUGCCACUGACAUUGAUGCUCGAAAGUGUGGGUAUCAAACAGGAUUAGAUACCCUUGUAGUC